CGUAACAAGGUUUCCGUAGGUGAACCUGCGGAAGGAUCAUUGUCGAGACCCAAACGCUUCAUU
This 63-nucleotide ribosomal RNA is filed under the name Alisma nanum. RNAcentral describes it as "partial 18S ribosomal RNA". The stretch from base 1 to 42 matches the Rfam family "Eukaryotic small subunit ribosomal RNA", at positions 1790 to 1831 of the family's 1831-position model. The record is from RNAcentral. Lineage: Eukaryota; Viridiplantae; Streptophyta; Magnoliopsida; Alismatales; Alismataceae.